Non-coding RNA from Pantherophis guttatus, 467 nucleotides. The record is from the annotation of a RefSeq genome assembly. Lineage: Eukaryota; Metazoa; Chordata; Lepidosauria; Squamata; Colubridae.
ACUAAUGAGAUGCAAGCUGAAUUUGCAUAAAGGGGAGGACUCCAAUUUUGGGGGGGGUUUAAAGGGACUAAAGCAGUCUCCCAAUUUGAGUUUCCCAAACAGCUCAAUUCUGCAUCAUGGAGUGGUCUCUGCUCUUGGCUGUCUUCUUCUUAUGGUGGACAGGAGCCAACUCACAGUAUACCUUGACUCAACCUGCCACACAAUCGUUUCCCCUGGGAGAAAGAGCAAUGAUCUCAUGUACCAUGAGCCAAGACAGCCGAGUGGGCAGCUAUUUCAUGUCUUGGUACCAACAGAAGGCUGGAGAGAGACCCAAAUUCCUUCUCUAUGACAACAACAACAAUGGCAGAUUCUCGGGGACCAUAGACAGCUCUGCCAAUGCAGCCUAUUUAACCAUUGGAAACCUCCAGGCUGAUGAUGAGGCUGAUUACUAUUGUGGUGGUAAUUACGGCAGUGGGUAUCCACAGUGA